GUUUACAGUCACACCUCCCUGAAAGUACCCCAUUUCAUUUGAUCUUGGAAGCUAAGCGGGAUCGGGAUUGAUUUUACCACUUCAAUGGGAACUGAAGAAAAGAAUGUGGACA
Molecule: ribosomal RNA, 112 nt
Filed under: Fukomys damarensis (Damara mole-rat)
Lineage: Eukaryota; Metazoa; Chordata; Mammalia; Rodentia; Bathyergidae
Source: RNAcentral